RNAcentral lists this ribosomal RNA (599 nucleotides) under Tenacibaculum aestuarii. Its description in RNAcentral is "bacterial SSU rRNA". It matches the Rfam family "Bacterial small subunit ribosomal RNA", at positions 86 to 683 of the family's 1533-position model. The record is from RNAcentral. Lineage: Bacteria; Pseudomonadati; Bacteroidota; Flavobacteriia; Flavobacteriales; Flavobacteriaceae.
CGCUGACGACCGGCGAACGGGUGCGUAACGCGUAUAGAAUCUGCCUUGUACAGGAGGAUAGCCUUUAGAAAUGAAGAUUAAUACUCCAUAAUACUGAGAUGUGGCAUCACAAUUUAGUUAAAGAUUUAUCGGUACAAGAUGACUAUGCGUCCUAUUAGCUAGAUGGUAAGGUAACGGCUUACCAUGGCAACGAUAGGUAGGGGGUCUGAGAGGAUUAUCCCCCACACUGGUACUGAGACACGGACCAGACUCCUACGGGAGGCAGCAGUGAGGAAUAUUGGUCAAUGGAGGCAACUCUGAACCAGCCAUGCCGCGUGCAGGAAGACUGCCCUAUGGGUUGUAAACUGCUUUUAUACAGGAAGAAACAGUCGUACGAGUACGACCUUGACGGUACUGUAAGAAUAAGCACCGGCUAACUCCGUGCCAGCAGCCGCGGUAAUACGGAGGGUGCAAGCGUUAUCCGGAAUCAUUGGGUUUAAAGGGUCCGCAGGCGGUCAAUUAAGUCAGAGGUGAAAUCCCAUAGCUUAACUAUGGAACUGCCUUUGAUACUGGUUGACUUGAGUUAUACGGAAGUAGAUAGAAUAAGUAGUGUAGCGGUG